RNAcentral lists this microRNA precursor (102 nucleotides) under Dictyostelium discoideum. Its description in RNAcentral is "microRNA ddi-mir-7131c precursor". The stretch from base 14 to 91 matches the Rfam family "mir-7131 microRNA precursor family". The record is from miRBase by way of RNAcentral. Lineage: Eukaryota; Evosea; Eumycetozoa; Dictyosteliales; Dictyosteliaceae.
CCAUGCCAAAAUAAAUAUGGCUGCUGAAAUUAAUAUGGCAUGGGACUUAUGUCUGCUAGAAUUACCAUAUUAAUUUCAGCAGCCAUAUUAAUUUUGGCAUGC